Nothobranchius furzeri (turquoise killifish) is the source of this 923-nucleotide long non-coding RNA. RefSeq lists it as uncharacterized. The record is from RefSeq and is a predicted model, not a curated record. Lineage: Eukaryota; Metazoa; Chordata; Actinopteri; Cyprinodontiformes; Nothobranchiidae.
UUGAUUCAGAGAUGGAGCCAGAAGUCCAUUGAAUUUAUUUAUAGAUGGUGGAUGUGGCGGAUCAGGUGUGACAGAGCCGCUAAAGGGAAUGAUACGGGGAAGUUUGUUUGCCUUAAAUAGGCUGAAAACAGGCUGGAGCUAAAGCGGGAGCCCCCUGGCUAACCUCAACACCACCCAUGAUCUGGUGUUGAGUGGACAAACAAACAAACCUGGCUUCGUUCAGCAGGAUGGUGGAGUUGUGUAAGACGUACACACCCCAAAAGGGAGGGAGGGAGUGGAAAACUAGUUGCGUAAGUUAAGUGAGAUAACUCCAGGUUGAAGGAGAGCAACAUGGUGAAAGCUUUUGUUAGACAGGGAGAAGAGAGGAUUAUAUCACUUGUGCUGAGCUGUCUGCGUCAAAGGAUCAGGCCAGCGGAUAAUUCCAGUGUGUUCUCGUACUCUCCUUCACCUGCCGGUGUCGUUCUGACGCUGAUUACAGAUGAAAUCCAUCAUUCUGGGCUUCUUUUCUUGCUGGAACAUGAACUAACACGGAGUUAAAGGCAAAGUGGGCGAGGCGUGCUACUGCUCCUCUCCUCACACUUCAUUAACACAUCGCCGUGGCCCACAUCUGACUGCAGACACAACACAGGACAAGCGGGGGGAGAAGCCGGCUCCUCCCGUAUCCACUACGAUGAAUACCGAGCGGCAUCAUUGGAAAUACCGUUUUAUUUGGUAUUCUGUCAGAAAAUGAAAACCUAGAAGAGCAGAGGGGGAUGGUCUGGAACCAGGAUCCAAAAGAAAGGCUCAUCUCUGACUGUCUAUCUGCUUCACUUUGGUGCCGCUCCUUUCAUCUUACGGCCUUUCAAGGCUGAAUUCAUGAUUAGGUGCCUGCUACAUGUUCUGUACUCAUGUUUUUAUUCUCAAAACAUAAAAGAUCUUGAGUG